CCUACGGGUGGCAGCAGUGGGGAAUAUUGGGCAAUGGGGGGAACCCUGAUCCAGCGACGCCGCGUGAGUGAAGAAGUAUUUCGGUAUGUAAAGCUCUAUCAGCAGGGAAGAAAGAAAUGACGGUACCUGACUAAGAAGCCCCGGCUAACUACGUGCCAGCAGCCGCGGUAAUACGUAGGGGGCAAGCGUUAUCCGGAUUUACUGGGUGUAAAGGGAGCGUAGACGGCGGUGCAAGUCUGAUGUGAAAGGCGGGGGCUCAACCCCCGGACUGCUUUGGAAACUGUAUGGCUGGAGUGCAGGAGAGGUAAGUGGAAUUCCGAGUGUAGCGGUGAAAUGCGUAGAUAUAAGGAGGAACACCAGUGGCGAAGGCGGAUUACUGGACUGUAACUGACGUUGAGGCGCGAAAGCGUGGGGAGCAAACAGGAUUAGAUACCCCGGUAGUC
RNAcentral lists this ribosomal RNA (443 nucleotides) under uncultured bacterium. RNAcentral's name for it is "partial 16S ribosomal RNA". It matches the Rfam family "Bacterial small subunit ribosomal RNA", at positions 338 to 795 of the family's 1533-position model. The record is from RNAcentral.